UUAGCUCAGCUGGGAGAGCACCUCCCUUACAAGGAGGGGGUCGGCGGUUCGAUCCCGUCAUCACCCACCA
RNAcentral lists this transfer RNA (70 nucleotides) under Klebsiella pneumoniae. RNAcentral describes it as "tRNA-Val". It matches the Rfam family "tRNA". From Rfam's summary of the family: Transfer RNA (tRNA) molecules are approximately 80 nucleotides in length. Their secondary structure includes four short double-helical elements and three loops (D, anti-codon, and T loops). The record is from RNAcentral. RNAcentral also lists the same sequence under 10 other names. Lineage: Bacteria; Pseudomonadati; Pseudomonadota; Gammaproteobacteria; Enterobacterales; Enterobacteriaceae.